UACGAAGGGGCUAGCGUUGCUCGGAAUCACUGGGCGUAAAGGGUGCGUAGGCGGGUCUUUAAGUCAGGGUGAAAUCCUGGAGCUCAACUCCAGAACCUGCCUUUGAUACUGAGGAUCUUGAGUUCGGGAGAGUGAGUGGAACUGCGAGUGUAGAGGUGAAAUUCGUAGAUAUUCGCAAGAACACCAGUGGCGAAGGCGGCUCACUGGCCGAUACUGACGCUGAGGCACGAAGCGUGGAG
RNAcentral lists this ribosomal RNA (239 nucleotides) under uncultured bacterium. RNAcentral describes it as "partial 16S ribosomal RNA". It matches the Rfam family "Bacterial small subunit ribosomal RNA", at positions 524 to 766 of the family's 1533-position model. The record is from RNAcentral.